Molecule: ribosomal RNA, 253 nt
Filed under: uncultured bacterium
Lineage: Bacteria
Description: partial 16S ribosomal RNA
Rfam family: Bacterial small subunit ribosomal RNA
Source: RNAcentral
UACGUAGGGUGCGAGCGUUAAUCGGAAUUACUGGGCGUAAAGCGUGCGCAGGCGGUCCGCAAAGUCUGAUGUGAAAGCCCCGGGCUCAACCUGGGAACUGCAUUGGAAACUAACGGGCUCGAGUGUGGCAGAGGGGGGUGGAAUUCCACGUGUAGCAGUGAAAUGCGUAGAGGUGUGGAGGAACACCGAUGGCGAAGGCAGCCCCCUGGGCUAACACUGACGCUCAGGCACGAAAGCGUGGGGAGCAAACAGG